RNAcentral lists this ribosomal RNA (241 nucleotides) under uncultured bacterium. RNAcentral's name for it is "partial 16S ribosomal RNA". It matches the Rfam family "Bacterial small subunit ribosomal RNA", at positions 95 to 339 of the family's 1533-position model. The record is from RNAcentral.
GUGGCGGACGGGUGAGUAACGCGUAGGAAUAUACCUUAAAGUGGGGGAUAACUUGGGGAAACACAAGCUAAUACCGCGUAAGCUCUACGGAGUAAAGCAGGGGACCUUCGGGCCUUGCGCUUUAAGAAUAGCCUGCGUCUGAUUAGCUAGUUGGUGGGGUAAAGGCCUACCAAGGCGAUGAUCGGUAGCUGGUCUGAGAGGAUGGACAGCCACACUGGGACUGAGACACGGCCCAGACUCC